RNAcentral lists this ribosomal RNA (429 nucleotides) under Chloroflexota bacterium. RNAcentral describes it as "Chloroflexi bacterium partial 16S ribosomal RNA". It matches the Rfam family "Bacterial small subunit ribosomal RNA", at positions 355 to 776 of the family's 1533-position model. The record is from RNAcentral. Lineage: Bacteria; Bacillati; Chloroflexota.
UGGGGAUUAUUGCACAAUGGGCGCAAGCCUGAUGCAGCCAUGCCGCGUGUAUGAAGAAGGCCUUCGGGUUGUAAAGUACUUUCAGCGGGGAGGAAGGGAGUAAAGUUAAUACCUUUGCUCAUUGACGUUACCCGCAGAAGAAGCACCGGCUAACUCCGUGCCAGCAGCCGCGGUAAUACGGCGGGUGCAAGCGUUAAUCGGAAUUACUGGGCGUAAAGCGCACGCAGGCGGUCUGUCAAGUCGGAUGUGAAAUCCCCGGGCUUAACCUGGGAACUGCAUGCGGAACUGGCAGGCUAGAGUGGUGUAGAGGGGGGUAGAAUUCCAGGUGUGGCGAUGAGAUGCGUGGAGAUCUGGAGGAAUAACGGUGGAGAAGGCGGCCCCCUGGACAAAGACUGACGCACAGGUGGGAAAGCGGGGGGAGCAAACAGG